AGACUGUCUGCUUCCAAUUGUCUGCCUAUGUGUUGGACAGGUACUCUGUUACCUUAAAUCAUUUGACCCCUUUGACCUCAAAUCAGGUAGGACUACCCGCUG
This 102-nucleotide ribosomal RNA is filed under the name Phellinus hartigii. RNAcentral's name for it is "partial 28S ribosomal RNA". The record is from RNAcentral. Lineage: Eukaryota; Fungi; Basidiomycota; Agaricomycetes; Hymenochaetales; Hymenochaetaceae.